Molecule: ribosomal RNA, 301 nt
Filed under: uncultured bacterium
Lineage: Bacteria
Description: partial 16S ribosomal RNA
Rfam family: Bacterial small subunit ribosomal RNA
Source: RNAcentral
CAGCCGCCGCGGGAAUACGGAGGGAGCUAGCGUUGUUCGGAAUUACUGGGCGUAAAGCGCGCGUAGGCGGUUACUCAAGUCAGAGGUGAAAGCCCGGGGCUCAACCCCGGAACUGCCUUUGAAACUAGGUGACUAGAAUCUUGGAGAGGUCAGUGGAAUUCCGAGUGUAGAGGUGAAAUUCGUAGAUAUUCGGAAGAACACCAGUGGCGAAGGCGACUGACUGGACAAGUAUUGACGCUGAGGUGCGAAAGCGUGGGGAGCAAACAGGAUUAGAGACCCCGGUAGUCCCUGUCUCUUAUAC